RNAcentral lists this microRNA precursor (74 nucleotides) under Canis lupus familiaris (dog). Its description in RNAcentral is "mir-8799 microRNA precursor family". It matches the Rfam family "mir-8799 microRNA precursor family". RNAcentral also lists the same sequence under 1 other name. The record is from Rfam by way of RNAcentral. Lineage: Eukaryota; Metazoa; Chordata; Mammalia; Carnivora; Canidae.
GGGGGGAGGCCGGAUCCUGGGCUGUGCUCCUGGCCUGCGCUGUUGGAUUCGCGCUCCUGGCCGUGCAGGCCCCU